AGAGUUUGAUCCUGGCUCAGGAUGAACGCUGGCGGCGUGCCUAAUACAUGCAAGUCGAUCGGGCGUAGCAAUACGUCAGAGGCGAACGGGUGAGUAACACGUAGGUAACCUGCCCUCGAGACUGGGAUACCCAGACGAAAGUUUGGCUAAUACCGGAUAACAACAUUGGAGACAUCUCUGAUGUUUGAAAGGCGCUUUAAAGCGUCACUCUUGGAUGGACCUGCGGCACAUUAGCUAGUUGGUGAGAUAAUAGCCCACCAAGGCAAGGAUGUGUAGCCGAUCUGAGAGGAUGACCGGCCACAAUGGGACUGAGACACGGCCCAUACUCCUACGGGAGGCAGCAGUAGGGAGUUUUCGGCAAUGGGGGAAACCCUGACCGAGCAACGCCGCGUGAGUGAUGAAGGUCUUCGGAUUGUAAAGCUCUGUUACAGGGGACGAAUGAUUGCCAUAGGAAAUGAUGGCGGUUUGACGGUACCCUGCCAGAAAGUGACGGCUAACUACGUGCCAGCAGCCGCGGUAAUACGUAGGUCACGAGCGUUAUCCGGAAUUAUUGGGCGUAAAGAGUGAGCAGACGGUGAAGUAAGUCUGAAGUGAAAGCGUGGGGCUUAACCCCAUAUAGCUCCGGAAACUACUUCGCUAGAGUACGUCAGAGGUAAACAGAACUCCGUGUGUAGCGGUGAAAUGCGUAGAUAUACGGAAGAAUACCAGUGGCAAAGGCGGUUUACCAGGACGAUACUGACGUUCAGUCACGAAAGCGUGGGGAGCAAAUAGGAUUAGAUACCCUAGUAGUCCACGCC
This 797-nucleotide ribosomal RNA is filed under the name Bacillota bacterium. RNAcentral describes it as "bacterial SSU rRNA". It matches the Rfam family "Bacterial small subunit ribosomal RNA", at positions 8 to 801 of the family's 1533-position model. The record is from RNAcentral. RNAcentral also lists the same sequence under 1 other name. Lineage: Bacteria; Bacillati; Bacillota.